GACAGAGGGUGCAAGCGUUGUCCGGAUUUAUUGGGCGUAAAGCGCCCGCAGGCGGCUCGAUGCGUCGUGCGUGAAACACCCCGGCUCAACUGGGGAGGGUCGUGCGAUACGGUCGGGCUUGAGGCCAGCAGGGGGAUGCGGAAUUCCGGGUGUAGUGGUGGAAUGCGUAGAGAUCCGGAGGAACACCAGCGGCGAAGGCGGCAUCCUGGACUGGUACUGACGCUCAGGAGCGAAAGCGUGGGGAGCGAUCCGG
This 253-nucleotide ribosomal RNA is filed under the name uncultured bacterium. Its description in RNAcentral is "partial 16S ribosomal RNA". It matches the Rfam family "Bacterial small subunit ribosomal RNA", at positions 524 to 776 of the family's 1533-position model. The record is from RNAcentral.